This 374-nucleotide ribosomal RNA is filed under the name uncultured bacterium. RNAcentral describes it as "bacterial SSU rRNA". It matches the Rfam family "Bacterial small subunit ribosomal RNA", at positions 28 to 399 of the family's 1533-position model. The record is from RNAcentral.
GACAAACGCUGGCGGGGUGCGUGAGACAUGCAAGUCGAACGGGGUUUCGAUCGGGCUUGCUCGUUGAAACCUAGUGGCGGACGGCUGAGUAACGCGUAGGUGACCUGCCCGGAAGUGGGGAAUAACUGCCCGAAAGGGUGGCUAAUACCGCAUGUGGUCGGCGAUUCGCUUCGUCGCCUAAAGCCGCAAGGCGCUUCCGGAGGGGCCUGCGUCCGAUUAGCUAGUUGGUGAGGUAACGGCUCACCAAGGCGACGAUCGGUAGCUGGUCUGAGAGGAUGAUCAGCCAGACUGGGACUGAGAACGGCCCAGACUCCUACGGGAGGCAGCAGUCGGGAAUUUUGCCCAAUGGACGAAAGUCUGAGGCAGCAACUCCG